Long non-coding RNA from Apteryx owenii (little spotted kiwi), 1634 nucleotides. The record is from Ensembl. Lineage: Eukaryota; Metazoa; Chordata; Aves; Apterygiformes; Apterygidae.
AAUUCUUCCCCCACCCAUCAGCAAAGAAAAAGGGAGGUGGGGGUGGCUAACCUUCCCUCUUUCUGUCAUGCUAAGCCUGGCCUGUGUCUUCUAGUUGUUGCUUUAGAAAGAGUCUGGGCCUUUCUGGAAGCCUUUGCAGAGCUGUUCCUGAUUGACUGCUCCCUCCGACUGGGGAAGGAAAUCAGAUGCACCAAGACGGCUGGGGUUGAGUGGAGAUGGGCAGCGUGUGUAGGGAUAAGUCAAGGGACUCUCUCCUGUGCUCGUAACCUCAGGCGCUCCACAGUCCCCCCUGUCAUCCUACAUCACCGCCGGGAAGCAAGGGCACCGUUUUCAGGGGGUGGCAGGUGCUGUCGGCACAAGCAGCCGCUUUGGCAGAACUAGGACAGCGCUCGGGAGAUUGCUUCCUUAGGAGACGCGUGCUCAGCCUGGAGGAGUUGGUUAAACAUACUCCUGGUGCGACCCUUGAUGGGUCUGGUAUAAGCACAGCCUCCACCACAAGCCUCCUGGGAGCUCCGAAGUCAGCGCUUUCACUGUAAAUGCUUCCUCUGUGCAAGUGGGCAGAGAACCUGUGUGGCUCCGAUGCUUGCAAGAAGAGGGAUGGAGCUGCGGUUUGAACUACUUUCCCUGAGAAAUAACAUCCCAAAGCUUUCUAGGCCUAUUAGGAAUCACAGCUUGACACUCAAUGACACUAAAUUAUUAUUGGGAUCUGUUGACUCUGCAGAGCCGGCUGCGGUGGCGAGAUGUUUCCCUCCAGUGGCGGAAGAACAGACGCAGGCGGUGGUUUCAGGCCCAGGGCAGAGCCAUGAGAACAGGACAUGCAGACCAGGGGAGCAAACACAGCAGCAUUUUCAGCAGGCUUUUUGGUCCUAUGAAUUGUCAGGUCUUGUGGCUGCUGGGCUGCGCUGUGGAGUGAGAACUGCUCGCGCUAUCUGCGUCCCCAGGUCAGCCUGCUCCAGCUCAGUCAGUGUUUACCUCCUGAAUGCUAACCGCAAGACUUGCAGAGCCUCCCCUGGAAAAAAACAGCUCAGGACAGUUAUUUUUAUGGAAAUAAUGAAGCAGGCAAUCGGCCAUGGCAGCAGUUUGCUCCUCCAUCCUGGAGAAAGGUGAGGUUGCAUUUCGCUGAGGGCUGGCUAGGUUUGGCGCCCCGCCACGCUCUUGUGCUGGUUCUCUUUAGCCCAUGGCAAGCAUAUGCCGAACAUCCCACCCUGCUGUGUGUUUUUAUGAGUACAAGCUUCUCAUUCUGUACAUGUUAUUAUGAGCUAUUGUUAACCCUACAAAUGUAACCUGUGUAAUAGCUUUUCUGUAUAUUACAGCUGUAGGCUUUCCAGAUAAAAGUGGAUAAUAUUUAUUUACUGAAGAUAUUGGAUAUUUUUUUGUUUGGGAAUGGGGUAGGGGGAGAAGGGGGAUGUAACUGUUUAAAGAGAUUGACUAUGUAAAGAGAAACAAAAUACCCAAAAAGCAAAGAAACCCAACACUAAAAUGUUGCUGUAUUCAUGUAGAAAGUGUUUACGUAAGGAUGAUACAACUGUAUUAAUCUACCAUUGUUUAACUCGUUCCGGAAAUCAUCUCUACUUUGGUUCCUGCAUGUGAGAUACUCCAAUAAAUGCACUACUAGUGUGAACUGUAGGAUGGUA